CGUGUAGCCGGGAAGGCAAGUCAGAUGUGAAAUCCACGGGCUUAACUCGUGAACUGCAUUUGAAACUGUUUUUUCUUUGAGUAUCGGAGAGGCAAUCGGAAUUCCUAGUGUAGCGGUGAAAUGCGUAGAUAUUAGGAGGAACACCAGUGGCGAAGGCGGAUUGCUGGACGACAACUGACGGUGAGGCGCGAAGCGUGGGGAGCAAACA
Molecule: ribosomal RNA, 208 nt
Filed under: uncultured bacterium
Lineage: Bacteria
Description: partial 16S ribosomal RNA
Rfam family: Bacterial small subunit ribosomal RNA
Source: RNAcentral